Non-coding RNA from Oryza meridionalis, 205 nucleotides. The record is from Rfam. NCBI's taxonomy places the organism in Eukaryota, Viridiplantae, Streptophyta, Magnoliopsida, Poales, Poaceae.
UUUAAGUGCAACCGUGAGUUUCCAUGCCCAAUUUUGAUCGUCCGUCUCAUUUGAAAACUUUUUAUAAUUAGUAUUUUUGUUGUUAUGAGAUGAUAAAACACGAAUAGUAUUUUACUCGUGACUUAUGUUUUUAAAUUUUUUCAAAAAUUAUUCAAAUAAGACGGACGAUCAAAGUUGGGCGCGGGAAAUCAUGGCUGCACUUAAA